This 90-nucleotide transfer RNA is filed under the name Perca flavescens (yellow perch). Its description in RNAcentral is "tRNA-Asp". Lineage: Eukaryota; Metazoa; Chordata; Actinopteri; Perciformes; Percidae. The record is from RNAcentral.
CCUUCGAUAGCUCAGUUGGUAAAGGCGGAGGACUGUCAGUUGAUAACUGCAGGGAUCCUUAGAUCACUGGUUCCAUUCUGGCUCAAAGGA